AAGGAAGGAGGAAAGGAAGAAAGAAAAGAAAAGGAAAGGGAUUGACUGAGGCUAAAACUCUGUAAUCUCCAACCACUGGUCAGUAAGUUCUGUUGAAAUUCAACAGUGUAAGAGACAAACAUGCAAAAAGGUUGGUGAAACAAUUCGUAAAUGCCAAGAAAAGGAAGCCUAUAGAUUUUCAGGAACCCUGAGGAGAUCCGCUGAUGUCUCCAUUGUAGCCUUCACUGCAUCCCCACCUCCCCUUCCGUGAAGGUGUCAAUAAACCUUCAGAUAGUAAAGAAGCCUUUUCCGGGGUUGAUGCUAUUUUUAAUGUCUUUAGCUUGACAGGCUUUCUGGACGGGUCCCUAUGUUAUCGUUUCUUGUGUGGGAAAUCAAGGUCCCUGGCAGUUGUCUUUCCCUGCUGUGUGUAGCAGGCAGAAUUGAUUCUCAGAAUAGGACCCCGGGAUUUUGGCCAGCAGUUCAGAAAAAAAGCAGGCCAACAGAGGAUGGAAACUAGGGGAGUAAGGGGCUCUGACUUGCAGAGGUGGAGAGGGAGAAUCACUGGGAAAUGAAAACCUUGAUCAUGCCUAGUGGAAAGUUGAAUUCAAGAAAUCUGACUACAUAUCAUGGUUAUAUUAUAUUUCCUCUACAGAGAACACCUUGGUUUUAAAAAUACUGUUUUCUGUGUGAGGUGUUUCUGUGUGUGUCCUCCCAGGAUUUCUAGAAGGUCCAUCUUCAAAGGGUCAUUAACAUUAUUUAAAUAUUCAUGGUGGGGGAGGGGAUUACAAGCUGAAAUUUCAGACAGCUUGGGAGUGGGGGAUGGCUGGCCACCCGCCGGAUCCAGUCCCACGCGGUGUAUCAGCUGCCUCCUUCCCCACCGCUGGCUUUGUUAACACACGCGCUCUGACACCAGGCCACCAGCUGCCACAACAGGGAGGGCAGCAUGAAGGCUCUGGCGAGCCAGUGAACCAGAAGCAUCCCUGUCCGCACCUCAGCCUCUGGACCACAUCAGGGAGAGGCCCAAAACACAUCGAGCCGCCGUCCGCGUCACAAAGACGCGUCUCCCACCGGCUCCCAGCGGUCCUGCUUACCCGGACAGUCUUGGUGCUGGUAAGGGAUGGGGAACUCGACCCCUCGGAUAGGAACUCAGCGGUGCCGGCCUUGUGAGGGCGAACACGCAGCCACACACUUCCAUAUACACUCAUAUGCACGUAUGUAUACACCAACGCACACGUCCAGAUGCACGCACUCCCGACACGGCCACACGUGCGCUAACACAGGUCCACGUACCCAGACACAGAGCCCUCUCCCCAGUUAGGAAAUAACUCGGCUUCACUUGCCCCAUCCCUCCAUCCCUCCAAUCUAUCCAUUCACUCAUUUCUUGGUUUCUCGGUGUGUGCCAAGAUUUCGCCAAAGCCACGGACAGAAGGUGCGAGUGGUUGGGGAGGGGAUGUGGAAGCGGAGGGGCAGACCUCUGCCCCAGGCGCCGGGAAGGGGGCGGGGAAGGGGCGGGCUCCGGGAGCAGGCGGGUGGUGCUCCCGGCCCUCCAGCGAGCAGAGCGGCCGCGGCUCUCGGCAGAUGCGCUCGCCCCAGCCGGGGCCUGCCGAACGCCUUUCCGCGGAGUCUCCCCGAUGCCCUGAGGAGGAGGUAGUGGCCGCGCUAGAUCCGAGGCCGAGGACAGCGCCCCCGUCCGGCGCCCAGAGGUACGCCUCUGUGGAAGCCCCUCCUCUUCUUAUAAGGACAUUAGUCACAUUGGAUUAGGACCCACCCGAAUGACAUCACUUGACUUGAUGACCUCUGUAGAGACCUUAUGUCCAAACAAGGUCACCUU
Molecule: non-coding RNA, 1810 nt
Organism: Kogia breviceps (pygmy sperm whale)
Lineage: Eukaryota; Metazoa; Chordata; Mammalia; Artiodactyla; Physeteridae
Source: RefSeq, a predicted model, not a curated record